CAAUGAAGGAAGGUCCUUCCUCUCCUAACUU
This 31-nucleotide transfer RNA is filed under the name Osteolaemus tetraspis (dwarf crocodile). RNAcentral describes it as "partial tRNA-Met". The record is from RNAcentral. Lineage: Eukaryota; Metazoa; Chordata; Crocodylia; Crocodylidae.